RNAcentral lists this long non-coding RNA (834 nucleotides) under Eucalyptus grandis. Its description in RNAcentral is "long non-coding RNA (EGRA_LNC006356)". Lineage: Eukaryota; Viridiplantae; Streptophyta; Magnoliopsida; Myrtales; Myrtaceae. The record is from RNAcentral.
UGCAAAAAGAGCCUAGGUGUGAAGAAAAGGGGCUCAUUAUGGAGGUCAGUAGUGAGCCCAGUGCCAGUGCCAAUGGAAGUGUGGAGAACGACAAGAUUAGCAUCAUAGAUUUUAAGCAGAGGACAACGGGGUUUGUGGAAGAAGAAGAAGAAGCAGUGGGAGGCAUAUAAAGAAGAGAAUCACUUGCAAGAGCGAAAAUAGAAAGGGGAGUGGGAGGUGCGGAAAGAAAGAAGAAGAAGGAAAGUGGGAUCCAAAAAAAGGAAAUAAAAUAAAAAAGAGUUGAUCAAAUAAUAGAAAACGGAUCAUAUAAAAUUGUACUAGCAACGAGGGAUAGAAUGACCAAAACUCUCAAAUAGGGAGUGUCUAAGAUAUAGAGGAGUGGAAAAAGUGCAGCCCAUAAAACAAAUGUAUAAAAUAUUCUAAAAACAUUACGAGUAAAUUCAAAAGGUAAAAAUUGUAUGCACAAGAUAUUUAAUGAGGCUUAUCUAAUGGCAUGAGAGUGUUAACAUUCGGUUGUUGGAGUAAUGUGCGGUGUGGAUUGAAAACUGAUGUUAUGUAAGACGAUUAAAAGAAAAUCUAUUAACUCCUCACUAAAUACAUAUGUUAAACUUUCAUUGCUCUACUCCUAUAAAAUGGUUGUUACGAGUAGAACAAUAAAACAAAUCACUUUUCCGUCAGGAUUGUAUCCGUGGGUGAGCUCCAAUAAGAAUGAAUCAAUGACUAUUCUUCCUUCUUAUCCUCAGGGCUCUUAAUUCUUGUUGAGAAUGCAGCGCUGCAAAUGCUUAGAAGGAAGCAGCAGGAAGAAACUCAGCAACUAAAGUUAAUUAGAACAGA